CAGCAGCCACGGGAAUACAGAGGGUGCGAGCGUUAAUCGGAUUUACUGGGCGUAAAGCGUGCGUAGGCGGCUUCUUAAGUCGGAUGUGAAAUCCCCGGGCUCAACCUGGGAACUGCAUCCAAAACUGGCAAGCUAGAGUAUGGUAGAGGGUGGUGGAAUUUCCUGUGUAGCGGUGAAAUGCGUAGAUAUAGGAAGGAACACCAGUGGCGAAGGCGACCACCUGGACUGAUACUGACACUGAGGUGCGAAAGCGUGGGGAGCAAACAGGAUUAGAUACCCCGGUAGUCCCUGUCUCUUAUAC
RNAcentral lists this ribosomal RNA (301 nucleotides) under uncultured bacterium. RNAcentral describes it as "partial 16S ribosomal RNA". It matches the Rfam family "Bacterial small subunit ribosomal RNA", at positions 509 to 807 of the family's 1533-position model. The record is from RNAcentral.